GAAGACAUCCAGGGAGCUGCUGUUUAAGACCUGAAACAUCUGGAUCAGCUGUACAUGGAUCUGCUGCCACUUCAGAUGAAGAUAACGCAGAUGAAUUGUACAAAAGCCUUCAGCAGCCGACAAGAGAUCUCUACCAAACUAUCUCCUCAGGUCACCAUAAGCAUGAAAUUGAAACAAACUCAGCCAGCAACAAAGGAAAUGUUAACCUGGAAAAUAUGGAAGUUUACAGCAAUCAUGAAAUUUAUGAAAACCUUCGAAUCAAAACUCUUUCAAGCUAAAUGCAGUUUCAUAAACAUUAGGCUGAAUUUGCUUUUGAUGUUUUACUGAGCAAGAUUAACCAGAAGUUAUGUUAUUCAGUAUUUAAUAGUAACAUGUCAUAAUUUUAUUGAAACAUUGGUAAAUGUAUCAGUUUGUCUUGAAAGAAUCUGUAACAUUCUUAAAAUACAUCAUGUUAUAUAUUGUACUAUAUAUAGAAGAUUUUAUUUUUUCACUGGUGGCAUCUUUGCAAAGCUGUUCCGUUCCUGUAAAGGUCCGCCUCAUUAUCAGACCAAUGUUCUGUAACUUCAGAGCCUCUUCUAGUAUUGCAUAUUUAAUCUGUAACUGCCUCUGUUUAAGUUUUAAGUUAUUUCUAAGGACGCCUUGGACACCAGAAACUACUGGGCUCUAUAAGCACUUCACCUGAUAGAUUACAGAAACAGGCCUCUUAGUUAAAGCUAAUGGAUGAUUAUCUUUAAAAAUGAUCUUGCUGAUCACAAGUUGUGUCUGUGCAACUCAAAGGGCUCUCUGUCAGUA
Molecule: long non-coding RNA, 792 nt
Organism: Fundulus heteroclitus (mummichog)
Lineage: Eukaryota; Metazoa; Chordata; Actinopteri; Cyprinodontiformes; Fundulidae
Exons: 3
Source: RefSeq, a predicted model, not a curated record